ACUUGGCCUUCCUGCUACUGAGUUAGGCUGCGUCCAGCUGGCCCGGGGCAGUGAAGCUUCGGCCUAACAAACUCCAGAGGUGGCUGCUGGGAGCUCCGGGUCCAGCUCAGGGGUCCUUCCUCUCUGCGGACCCCAGCAAUGGAAGAACACCCAUCCUCCAUGGCUGCACACCUGGAGCACUGGAGGGGGAGCCUAGACGCGUGGAGAGCUGUGGAGGACCACCGUAGACACCCUCACCCAAGGGCACCCACCCUGGCGCUGGUGACACCUGGGAGCCAGUGACGGGGCGGGAAGGCAGCAGCAGCAGCGCCUCCUGAAGCCCCCCAGCACUUUCCGUGUUGGGGAGGAGAUCCAUAUGCAGGAACAUCUCUGGAGAUGAGAAUUUCUGAUGACACAUUUUCCCAUGUUCUCUGUAGCUCCCUCAAUUAGAUUAUACUCCCAGUUAAUACAUUAAAUGACCUUUCAU
Molecule: long non-coding RNA, 466 nt
Organism: Mustela erminea (ermine)
Lineage: Eukaryota; Metazoa; Chordata; Mammalia; Carnivora; Mustelidae
Exons: 4
Source: RefSeq, a predicted model, not a curated record